Molecule: ribosomal RNA, 219 nt
Filed under: uncultured bacterium
Lineage: Bacteria
Description: partial 16S ribosomal RNA
Rfam family: Bacterial small subunit ribosomal RNA
Source: RNAcentral
GAUCCUGGCUCAGGAUGAACGCUGACAGAAUGCUUAACACAUGCAAGUCUUUGGCAAAGCUGUGCUUGCACAGUCUAGCCAAGGCGGACGGGUGAGUAACGCGUAAGGAACUUGCCCUGCAGUCAGGGAUAACAGACGGAAGCGACUGAUAAAACCUGAUAAAGUCAGACGGACUCAUGUCCAGUCUGAUGAAAAGAAAUGCUGCAGGAGAGCCUUGCG